This 253-nucleotide ribosomal RNA is filed under the name uncultured bacterium. RNAcentral describes it as "partial 16S ribosomal RNA". It matches the Rfam family "Bacterial small subunit ribosomal RNA", at positions 524 to 776 of the family's 1533-position model. The record is from RNAcentral.
UACGGGGGGAGCAAGCGUUGUUCGGAUUUACUGGGCGUAAAGGGCGCGUAGGCGGCGUGACAAGUCACUUGUGAAAUCUCCGGGCUUAACUCGGAACGGUCAAGUGAUACUGUCGUGCUAGAGUACAGAAGGGGCAACUGGAAUUCUCGGUGUAGCGGUGAAAUGCGUAGAUAUCGAGAGGAACACCUGCGGCGAAGGCGGGUUGCUGGGCUGAUACUGACGCUGAGGCGCGAAAGCCAGGGGAGCAAACGGG